Molecule: ribosomal RNA, 1326 nt
Filed under: Arthrobacter sp. HM-37
Lineage: Bacteria; Bacillati; Actinomycetota; Actinomycetes; Micrococcales; Micrococcaceae
Description: bacterial SSU rRNA
Rfam family: Bacterial small subunit ribosomal RNA
Source: RNAcentral
GUGGCGAACGGGUGAGUAACACGUGAGUAACCUGCCCUUGACUCUGGGAUAAGCCUGGGAAACUGGGUCUAAUACCGGAUACGACCAUCUGGCGCAUGUCAUGGUGGUGGAAAGCUUUUGUGGUUUUGGAUGGACUCGCGGCCUAUCAGCUUGUUGGUGGGGUAAUGGCCUACCAAGGCGACGACGGGUAGCCGGCCUGAGAGGGUGACCGGCCACACUGGGACUGAGACACGGCCCAGACUCCUACGGGAGGCAGCAGUGGGGAAUAUUGCACAAUGGGCGCAAGCCUGAUGCAGCGACGCCGCGUGAGGGAUGACGGCCUUCGGGUUGUAAACCUCUUUCAGUAGGGAAGAAGCGAAAGUGACGGUACCUGCAGAAGAAGCGCCGGCUAACUACGUGCCAGCAGCCGCGGUAAUACGUAGGGCGCAAGCGUUAUCCGGAAUUAUUGGGCGUAAAGAGCUCGUAGGCGGUUUGUCGCGUCUGCUGUGAAAGACCGGGGCUCAACUCCGGUUCUGCAGUGGGUACGGGCAGACUAGAGUGCAGUAGGGGAGACUGGAAUUCCUGGUGUAGCGGUGAAAUGCGCAGAUAUCAGGAGGAACACCGAUGGCGAAGGCAGGUCUCUGGGCUGUAACUGACGCUGAGGAGCGAAAGCAUGGGGAGCGAACAGGAUUAGAUACCCUGGUAGUCCAUGCCGUAAACGUUGGGCACUAGGUGUGGGGGACAUUCCACGUUUUCCGCGCCGUAGCUAACGCAUUAAGUGCCCCGCCUGGGGAGUACGGCCGCAAGGCUAAAACUCAAAGGAAUUGACGGGGGCCCGCACAAGCGGCGGAGCAUGCGGAUUAAUUCGAUGCAACGCGAAGAACCUUACCAAGGCUUGACAUGAACCGGAAAGACCUGGAAACAGGUGCCCCGCUUGCGGUCGGUUUACAGGUGGUGCAUGGUUGUCGUCAGCUCGUGUCGUGAGAUGUUGGGUUAAGUCCCGCAACGAGCGCAACCCUCGUUCUAUGUUGCCAGCGCGUUAUGGCGGGGACUCAUAGGAGACUGCCGGGGUCAACUCGGAGGAAGGUGGGGACGACGUCAAAUCAUCAUGCCCCUUAUGUCUUGGGCUUCACGCAUGCUACAAUGGCCGGUACAAAGGGUUGCGAUACUGUGAGGUGGAGCUAAUCCCAAAAAGCCGGUCUCAGUUCGGAUUGGGGUCUGCAACUCGACCCCAUGAAGUCGGAGUCGCUAGUAAUCGCAGAUCAGCAACGCUGCGGUGAAUACGUUCCCGGGCCUUGUACACACCGCCCGUCAAGUCACGAAAGUUGGUAACACCCGAAGCCGGUG